Non-coding RNA from Oryza sativa Japonica Group (Japanese rice), 440 nucleotides. NCBI's taxonomy places the organism in Eukaryota, Viridiplantae, Streptophyta, Magnoliopsida, Poales, Poaceae. The record is from RefSeq and is a predicted model, not a curated record.
UUUCCAUCCACAUUCCACCUGCGGCCGCCGCUAUCAUCCACAUUCUCGACUCUCGUCAGCCUUCACGAACACCACAGAUCGAUCUGCGGCGUUCGUUUGGUUUGGUCUGCGAUGUGCUUCUUCGUGUUUGUUUUGCUGUUCUCUUUCGUUUUUUUAGCUGUUUGGUUUGGUUUGGUUUGGUGAUCUGAGGAUGGACGCCGGCGAUGAGGAAGAACAUGGUUCGCUCGUCUGAACGGUUCAUUUUCAACUGCAAAUUCAGAAUGUACUUAAAAACAUCAUUACGCAAGAGACACAAACUCUCUAGAAUGGCACACAUAUCAUUACAUCAAGUUUAGUAGAAAGCUACAUCAUAUGAUUGAGGACCAACACUUAACCUGCGAUUGCAAGUUGCCCUCAAACAAGAUCAGGGCAACGCAAGCAACGAAGGAGAUGGCAAAAAA